RNAcentral lists this ribosomal RNA (261 nucleotides) under uncultured bacterium. RNAcentral's name for it is "partial 16S ribosomal RNA". It matches the Rfam family "Bacterial small subunit ribosomal RNA", at positions 793 to 1055 of the family's 1533-position model. The record is from RNAcentral.
GUCCACGCGGUAAACGAUGAGCACUAGACGCCGGUGGGGUGACCUGUCGGUGUCGCAGCUAACGCGCUAAGUGCUCCGCCUGGGGAGUACGGCCGCAAGGUUGAAACUCAAAGGAAUUGACGGGAGCCCCGCACAAGCGGUGGAGCAUGUGGUUUAAUUCGAUGCAACGCGAAGAACCUUACCUGGCCUUGACAUCCGGGGAACCCUCAGAGAUGAGGGGUGCCGCGAGGAGCCCCGAGACAGGUGCUGCAUGGCUGUCGU